Non-coding RNA from Lactuca sativa (garden lettuce), 2586 nucleotides. NCBI's taxonomy places the organism in Eukaryota, Viridiplantae, Streptophyta, Magnoliopsida, Asterales, Asteraceae. The record is from RefSeq and is a predicted model, not a curated record.
CUCCACCGCUUCACUGCCCACCGACGAACUCCGCUCACCUCUUCCCCACCCCCACCUCCGAAAUUCAGUUGUUUCAAAUUUGGGGGUUAUUACCCCAGUUCCUUUCGAUUGCUCUCUGAUUAAACGAUUUAUUACCGAUUGCAAAGCCUUCACAAAUCCUACCUCGAUUCCAUCGCCAUCUACUUCUUCCCAACGGAGACCUGAUUUUACUUCAUCGUCGUCUACUUUUCCCUCUAUCGUUAUCAUUCUCUCUCCACCUGCCUCCACAAACCAUUUGUACCUUAUACCAUUUAACGCCUUUCUCCCAGUUGAAGUUGAAGACAAACACUGAAAUCGAUAUGUUUACUGUUUAGGGUUACCAUGCUCUGUUUCCAGGUUUGACGUUAUCAAUCUGGAAACAACAGUUAUUUUGAUGAUGGAGAAGAACCCAUGUACGGUAGGUAAACCCAUGUUACUAAAUAUUUUUCAUAUUGUGUUCUUUGGCUUUUAUUGCUCAACUCACAAGCUUGUAACCUACAAGAGCAGUUCCACAUGCUCGAGCAACAUUUGGAGGGCAUCUUCUGCAGUGUGAUUUCUAAUCUGUCUCAUAAUGAUGGUGUUCGUCUCUGUAUUGGAGGAUGAAAUCUUUUUACACCUAAAAACAAAAAAAAAAAAAAAAAAAAAAAAAAAAACUUCUACAGCACAAAUGGGACAUAUCACAACUGGCAAAAGUUACAUAUGAUAUAUGCACAAAGAAAAAGAAAUCUCCCCUGGUAUUUUAGAAAUCAUCCUAGAGGUGGGUUUGUGCAACCCCUCCCUCCUGGUCUGGGGUUCAUAGCCCUAACAUAUUUGUAAGUUUUUCAGUUGGGUCAAAUUGUUUUGUCAACUAGGUCCUUUGUUGAUGAAUAUGAUGGAAAAUUUUGUCCAGAUCAUCAACAUGGUGCAGAGAAUAAGUGCUUCCAUUUAUACUUAUGAAUUUAGUAGAAAACCCAAUUGCACUUCACAUGUUUGAUGAAAUGCCUCAAUGAGACAUAUGACUUUAAUUUUCACAAAAUGUAAGGUUACUUGUUUUUGAAUAUUUUCAACAAGAGGUGGUUUUAGAAAGGUGAUGGCUUGGGGUUUAGUUGCGCAACAUGAUAAUCUUCAUAUAAAUGAAUCUUUUUUCCAUCUAUGUUGUGUUUGUUAUGAUGCCUUAUCUUUCUUGUUUUUAAGGUAUAUGCGUUGACAUAGCAAGGUCAAAGCAUGAGCAUUGGUCAUCAUUUGCAUCUCUGCCAUUGGAAGUUGUCAUUCCGGCUGGACAAAAGGCAAGGGAGGAUUCUUAGCAAGGUGUCAAGUUCACCAACUUGACAAUUAUCACAUUCUUGUUUCAUUAUAUUUUUAAAUUUCUUUUAAAUUUGUUAUGAUGGAAUGAAAACAGGUGAUGAUGAUUCUAUAGGCAAAAUCGAUAUUCAUGCCAUCAAUGACAUAUAUGGGGACAAAAAAUAUCGAGAGUAUGCUUUAAGUUGAAAUGGGAAAAGGACUAAAGUUAUAAUUGAAUCUUCCAGGAUUGGUAGUGUGAUAGAAGAGGAAAAAGGACAGAUGCCAAUAUUUUAUAGUGGGAAGGUGAAUGUGUAUGAUGAUAUCCCAACUGAUAAGGAACGUGCCUUAUUACAGCUUGCUGCAAGCCCUCUUCAGUUUCCUCAUGAGGAUCCAGUUGAUGGAAACUUGUUGCAACAACCUCCAAACAUCAAUCUGCCAAUCUUGCGAACAGUGAGAACGACUAAUAACUAUCGAUUGAACAAAGAGGAAAGCAAUAUAUCGCAUGAAGAAAUCUCUGUUGAAGGUUUAGCAAGAAGAAAAGCAUCGGUGCAAAGAAAUCUAGAGAAGUGGAAAUAUAGGUAUUGUGUUACUUGGCUUCACUAUUUCCAGAAAACAUAAACUUGUUUUGGCAAGAUGAGUAUUCUUGCUCAAUGAUUUGUUUCCUACAAUGGAUAGUGCUUAUCAUGCUCGGCCAUCUGGCCAGACCUCUGCAUUGCCUCCUACAAGACAGUAGUACAAAUAAACCUGGUAGUGAAGUGAAGUCUUCUGAGAGACCUGGUAACACAUGAUUACAAAGAAGUUCCUCAAACCAAAUGCAACCACAAAGUGCCUCACACCUCCUGUAAGUUCUCAAAAGAAAAUAAUCGAUUAUGGCAUAAUUCCUCUGUUACGCCGCUUUUUAUUAAGUGAUGAUUAUGAGAAGUUAUCAGCAAUUGAAGCAUAUGAUGCACAAGACGAAUCUUACACAAUGGUCUGGAUCAAGCUUGCCUCUUCAGGAAGUUAGCUCGAUGCUGUUGGAAAAGCUUAUUGCAGCACGUAUUGGAGAUCGACCUGUUGUAUUUGUAACUCAUAGCAUGGGGGGAUUGGUUGUGAAACAGAUGCUACAUCAAGCAAGUGCAGAAAACAGAGGCAAUCUUGUCAAAAACAGUGUUGGUGUGUUACAGGACAUGAGUAUCGGCACAUCAUGGAACAUUUAGGUUAGUUGUUGUUUUUCCUCUUGGUGAUCCAUCAAUGAAGUGGCCAACAUCAUGUAAUAACAUUUUAGGGGAAGAUGUAUGUAUAUGUUUUUUUUAAUGAAUAAUGUAAUCA